CCAAUAGCGUAUAUUAAAGUUGUUGCAGUUAAAAAGCUCGUAGUUGAAUUUCGGGACCAGUAGGUUGGUCGUGCCUACGGUACGUACUGGCUUCACUGGUUCCUCCCUUCUGACAAACCAUGAUGCCAUUAAUUUGGUGUUGUGGGGAAUCAGGACUGUUACUGUGAAAAAAUUAGGGUGUUUAAAGCAGGCUUAAGCUUGAAUACAUUAGCAUGGAAUAAUGAAAUAGGACGUUUGAUCUUAUUUUGUUGGUUUCUAAGAUCGACGUAAUGAUUAAUAGGGAUAGUUGGGGGCAUUAGUAUUCAAUUGUCAGAGGUGAAAUUCUUGGAUUUAUUGAAGACUAACUACUGCGAAAGCAUUUGCCAAGGAUGUUUUCAUUAAUCAAGAACGAAAGUUAGGGGAUCGAAGACGAUCAGAUACCGUCGUAGUCUUAACCAUAAACUAUGCCGACUAGGGAUUGGACGAUGUUAAUUUUUUAAUGACUCGUUCAGCACCUUACG
Molecule: ribosomal RNA, 500 nt
Filed under: uncultured Glomeromycotina
Lineage: Eukaryota; Fungi; Glomeromycota
Description: partial small subunit ribosomal RNA
Rfam family: Eukaryotic small subunit ribosomal RNA
Source: RNAcentral